Molecule: ribosomal RNA, 1358 nt
Filed under: uncultured bacterium
Lineage: Bacteria
Description: bacterial SSU rRNA
Rfam family: Bacterial small subunit ribosomal RNA
Source: RNAcentral
GAUGAACGCUAGCUACAGGCUUAACACAUGCAAGUCGAGGGGCAGCAUGGUCUUAGCUUGCUAAGGCCGAUGGCGACCGGCGCACGGGUGAGUAACACGUAUCCAACCUGCCGUCUACUCUUGGACAGCCUUCUGAAAGGAAGAUUAAUACGAGAUGGCAUCAUGAGUCCGCAUGUUCACAUGAUUAAAGGUAUUCCGGUAGACGAUGGGGAUGCGUUCCAUUAGAUAGUAGGCGGGGUAACGGCCCACCUAGUCUUCGAUGGAUAGGGGUUCUGAGAGGAAGGUCCCCCACAUUGGAACUGAGACACGGUCCAAACUCCUACGGGAGGCAGCAGUGAGGAAUAUUGGUCAAUGGGCGAGAGCCUGAACCAGCCAAGUAGCGUGAAGGAUGACUGCCCUAUGGGUUGUAAACUUCUUUUAUAAAGGAAUAAAGUCGGGUAUGGAUACCCGUUUGCAUGUACUUUAUGAAUAAGGAUCGGCUAACUCCGUGCCAGCAGCCGCGGUAAUACGGAGGAUCCGAGCGUUAUCCGGAUUUAUUGGGUUUAAAGGGAGCGUAGAUGGAUGUUUAAGUCAGUUGUGAAAGUUUGCGGCUCAACCGUAAAAUUGCAGUUGAUACUGGAUAUCUUGAGUGCAGUUGAGGCAGGCGGAAUUCGUGGUGUAGCGGUGAAAUGCUUAGAUAUCACGAAGAACUCCGAUUGCGAAGGCAGCCUGCUAAGCUGCAACUGACAUUGAGGCUCGAAAGUGUGGGUAUCAAACAGGAUUAGAUACCCUGGUAGUCCACACGGUAAACGAUGAAUACUCGCUGUUUGCGAUAUACUGCAAGCGGCCAAGCGAAAGCGUUAAGUAUUCCACCUGGGGAGUACGCCGGCAACGGUGAAACUCAAAGGAAUUGACGGGGGCCCGCACAAGCGGAGGAACAUGUGGUUUAAUUCGAUGAUACGCGAGGAACCUUACCCGGGCUUAAAUUGCAGAUGAAUUACGGUGAAAGCCGUAAGCCGCAAGGCAUCUGUGAAGGUGCUGCAUGGUUGUCGUCAGCUCGUGCCGUGAGGUGUCGGCUUAAGUGCCAUAACGAGCGCAACCCUUGUUGUCAGUUACUAACAGGUUCCGCUGAGGACUCUGACAAGACUGCCAUCGUAAGAUGUGAGGAAGGUGGGGAUGACGUCAAAUCAGCACGGCCCUUACGUCCGGGGCUACACACGUGUUACAAUGGGGGGUACAGAGGGCCGCUACCACGCGAGUGGAUGCCAAUCCCCAAAACCUCUCUCAGUUCGGACUGGAGUCUGCAACCCGACUCCACGAAGCUGGAUUCGCUAGUAAUCGCGCAUCAGCCACGGCGCGGUGAAUACGUUCCCGGGCCU